AAGCGGAGGAAAAGAAACCAACAGGGAUUGCCUCAGUAACGGCGAGUGAAGCGGCAAAAGCUCAAAUUUUAAAGCUGACAUCUUCGGUGUCCGCGUUGUAAUUUUGUGAGGCAUCUCCGGGUAGGGCGCCGGCCUAAGUUCCUUGGAACAGGACGUCACAGAGGGUGAGAAUCCCGUGCUUGGCUGGCUGUCCCCGUCCAUGUGAGGUGUCUUCGACGAGUCGAGUUGUUUGGGAAUGCAGCUCAAAAUGGGUGGUAAAUUUCAUCUAAAGCUAAAUAUUGGUGGGAGACCGAUAGCGCACAAGUAGAGUGAUCGAAAGAUGAAAAGCACUUUGAAAAUAGAGUUAAAAAGUACGUGAAAUUGUUGAAAGGGAAGCGCUUGAGACCAGACUUCGGUAAGGGGUGAUCAGCCGUCCUUCUGGGCGGUGCACUUGCCCCCCUCCGGGCCAGCAUCGGUUGAGGCGGCGGGAUAAAGGUCCCGGGAAUGUGGCUCCUUCACGGGAGUGUUAUAGCCCGGGUGAAUGCCGCCAGCUUCGACCGAGGACCGCACCCGCAAGGGUUAGGAUGCUUGGCAUAAUGGUCUUCAGCGACCCGUCUUGAAACACGGA
This 607-nucleotide ribosomal RNA is filed under the name Morchella mediterraneensis. Its description in RNAcentral is "partial large subunit ribosomal RNA". It matches the Rfam family "Eukaryotic large subunit ribosomal RNA", at positions 48 to 665 of the family's 3401-position model. Lineage: Eukaryota; Fungi; Ascomycota; Pezizomycetes; Pezizales; Morchellaceae. The record is from RNAcentral.